RNAcentral lists this ribosomal RNA (467 nucleotides) under uncultured bacterium. RNAcentral's name for it is "partial 16S ribosomal RNA". It matches the Rfam family "Bacterial small subunit ribosomal RNA", at positions 28 to 506 of the family's 1533-position model. The record is from RNAcentral.
GACGAACGCUGGCGGCGUGCUUAACACAUGCAAGUCGAACGGAAAGGCCCUGCUUUUGUGGGGUGCUCGAGUGGCGAACGGGUGAGUAACACGUGAGUAACCUGCCCUUGACUUUGGGAUAACUUCAGGAAACUGGGGCUAAUACCGGAUAGGAGCUCCUGCUGCAUGGUGGGGGUUGGAAAGUUUCGGCGGUUGGGGAUGGACUCGCGGCUUAUCAGCUUGUUGGUGGGGUAGUGGCUUACCAAGGCUUUGACGGGUAGCCGGCCUGAGAGGGUGACCGGCCACGUUGGGACUGGGAACCGGCCCAGGCCCUUACGGGGGGCAGGAGGGGGGAAUAUUGCACAAGGGGCGGAAGCCGGAUGCAGAAACGCCGGGGGGGGGAGGACGGCCUUCGGGUGGAAAACCCCUUUCGCCUGUAACGAGGCGGGAGUGACGGUAAGGGUUAAAGAAACACCGGCAAACUACGG